The sequence is a regulatory RNA element, 96 nucleotides long. It matches the Rfam family "pan motif". The record is from Rfam.
AGGGCAGUAUCUUUCGCGAAAGAACUGCACCGUGCAUCAAGGGAAACAACAAAAAAUGCGAUCUGCCUUGAUCCUUAGAAGGACUGGGACAGAGGG